RNAcentral lists this unclassified non-coding RNA (2205 nucleotides) under Hevea brasiliensis (rubber tree). Lineage: Eukaryota; Viridiplantae; Streptophyta; Magnoliopsida; Malpighiales; Euphorbiaceae. The record is from RNAcentral.
GUGAUACUGGCAGGUAGUGAAAUACUUGUAUUUAUGUUAUUGUCUUUAUGUAAAUAAUUUAGUCAAAUGGGUAAUUUCUAAACAUGAAACUUAACUAUUUGUAACUUUCAAUCCAUUGCUAGUGUGAAAUAUGCCAUUAUUGCUGUCGUAUAUUCCUUUUGACUUGCUAAUGAGUUAAAUAUCUUGAGAAUAAGCAUUUGCAUGCAUAUAGAAUUGGAUUUUCUUCAAUGAAGUUUAAUGGUUGGUGCCUGAGGAAACCCUUGGUGCCUGAGGAAACCUGACUUUAAUCUGCAACUAGCCUUUGUUAAUAUCUGCAGUAGAAAGCGAAGGAGAUAGGAAGGCCAAGAAGGUACAAAGCUAAUGAAAGCAACACAGAUGGAAUAAUAAGUUUAAACUUGAAAAGCAUUUUGGGUUUAGAUUGGUAGGUGGUUGUUGGAUGAUGAUGUUCACAAAAAUGAUGGAAGAGGUAAAAGGCUCUUACUGUCACUCAGCCUACCUCAUGUGGUUAGGGGCAUAGGGGAUUUGGGUAGAGAGUACACAUUUGAGCCAUAGUACCAAAAAGACAAAAACAAGGAAAAACUCUUGCUUGGAGGCAGAAUAGGGCACCCUGAAGAAGAUGCUAGUCACAAUAACAACAAUUCAAGUUCAAAAAGGAGUCGGAAGAAGAUCCAGGGGAGAUAAAACAUAGCUUAUUUAACUAUCAAAAUACAAAGCAUAGCUUCAAAGUCCAUCAAACAUUCAAACAUAAACCUCAUGUGAAAGCAAUUUAGCUUUGCCCCUCAACUGAUAGUUUACCUCCCUUCUCCCUAGGGAUUUAGCUUUUACAUUGUAAGGUAUAAAGGGAACUUUAAUUCAUGUCCCUGCAUGACCCUUAUCACUAGAUUUCACGUCAACACCUUCUUCCUAACUAAUCUCCAUAAUGCCAGGACUUGGAGCAAACAUCUUUCACUGCACCAGUGCAGAUGGAAGAGGGUGGCUACUUCUAGCUUCUGCCAGCAUUAGAUAAUGAGACCUAUGCAUCACUUCUAAUUUCUGAUAUUGUGAGGCCUCUUAAGGCAGUUUCUUGUUCCCUACUCCACACAGAAUGCUACCACAUGGAGCUUAAAUUAUCUCCUUUCAAUAUGAUUCUUUGAAAUCAUAAUAAUUGCAUAAGAAAUUUUUAUUUUCUGUUAUAUUUAUGGUAGUUUAUGCAUAAUGACAACUGAUAGCAGAAGAAGGAAAAAGGCUAUCCAAUAUGGUUCUUUUAAAUCAUUAUAAUUUCCUAAGAACUUUUUAGUUUCCAUUACAUUUAUAUUAGUUUAUGUAGAUUGACAACAGAAAGCAGAAGAAGAAAAAGGGGCUAUUUUGCUUCAUUUUCAACCUCUCGUGUCUGCUUAGUUCAUAUUCUUGUGCUGCCACUCUCUCUCUACUAUUGCUUCUUUAUUUUAUGCUUAGAUGCUAGUCCUUGGUGUUUGAUGUUAUAGAUCAUUUACAUUGCCUUUCUAUUAUUCUCGUAUUGAUUGCAGUGUUCAUCUAGUGGAACUGAAAGGUAGUGGCCAAUUGUAUGCGAUGAAGGCAAUGGAAAAAUCUAUGAUGCUGCACCGUAAUAAGGUUUGAAUAUCCCCAAAAGAAUUCUAGACAUUAUAACUUCCUUUUAUGCAAGUCAACUACACCACUGAUAUAUGCCUGCCUGAAACUCAUGACUUCAGCUUUUAUCUUUUUCACUUUCUUCUGUUUUUUACUUGUUCUUCUCUCUAUGCUUGCUAUAUGAAAUACACUUGAUAGAGGAUAUAUUUUCUUGGGAAAAUUACAAAGUCCCUCUAAGGUUACAAAUGAUGUACUAAAACCAUCCUGUGAAACUUGGAGAUUGAUUAAAGCUGACUGAAAUUUGAUUUUACGUUUUGUCACUAAUGACAAAAAGUGUAGAAAGUGGAAAACUAUAGAAUUAAUGAGUAAAUCAACUAAUUUACUAUAGAACUCCCUAAUGAGAAAAUAUGUAGAAAGUGGAUAUCUAUAGAUUUUCCCCUAAUAAGGUAAUAAAUCUUGACUGAGGACCAAUGACAUAAAGGUCAUUUAAAACUUUUCAUUUUAAUUACUAUACAGGUUCACCGAGCAUGCAUUGAAAGAGAAAUCAUUUCGCUUCUGGAUCAUCCUUUCCUUCUCACGCUAUACGCUUCCUUUCAGACUUCCACACAUGUUUGUCUGAUAACAGACUUUUGCCCUGGU